UACGGAGGGUGCAAGCGUUGUCCGGAAUCAUUGGGCGUAGAGCGCGUGUAGGCGGUCCGGUAAGUCCGCUGUGAAAGUCGGGGGCUCAACCCUCGAAUGCCGGUGGAUACUGUCGGGCUAGAGUGCGGAAGAGGCGAGUGGAAUUCCUGGUGUAGCGGUGAAAUGCGCAGAUAUCAGGAGGAACACCAAUUGCGAAGGCAGCUCGCUGGGACGUUACUGACGCUGAGGGCCGAAAGCUAGGGGAGCGAAAGGG
This 253-nucleotide ribosomal RNA is filed under the name uncultured bacterium. RNAcentral's name for it is "partial 16S ribosomal RNA". It matches the Rfam family "Bacterial small subunit ribosomal RNA", at positions 524 to 776 of the family's 1533-position model. The record is from RNAcentral.